CCUAUAUAAAAUAUUAUUUCCUUUCCGGGUCAGAAAAAUCUGCGGAUACCCAUAUGGAUCAUAUUGUAUAUGUAUUGCCCUUCUGAUGGAUCUUCAUCCGUAGUAUCUUCCAAUCAAAAAUCCGACAUGGUUCACAUAUAUUGACCAAAAGUAAGACCCAUAAAAAAGUCACACAAAACAUGUAACCUGAACUAAUAAGACCUGACUUGCAGCUUGAUAUAAAAGUCACUCAAAACAUAGAAGCCAUCCACAAAACAAAAACUACAAUAAUAUUUUUUAAAACAACAAAAUGACAAAAUUAGGCUAAUUUUGCACAAAAGAUCUUAUUAAUUUUGUAAUUAAUUUUGAUUGAAAUUUUAAUAGUUGGGGUGAGUAUUUUGAUGAUGAGAUAAAUCAAGGUUGGUUUUGUAAAGUAAGAUUAAUGGGAUAAAUGAAGUAAUUUCAAGAACUUUGGAGUAUUUUGAUGAUGAGUAUGGAGUAGUCAUUGUGAAACCAGAAACAUUGCCCACUAAUCCAUAUGUUUUUGCUUCUUUACUUCAAUAAUCACUUUCUGAAUGAAAAAUAAAGGGAAAGCAAGGACAUUGCUCAUUAGGUGAUGAUUUAUUUAAAAUUUAAUCACUUCCACCGGUGCUUUUGCUUUUUUUGGAACUGCCCUCUUUGCUGGUGGUUUUGGCACUCCUGCCACUUGCAAUUUCUUCUUGUUAGUUGUUAUCUCCAUCUACUUGUGCAUUAGCAGCAAGUAAUCUGGCACCAAAACUCCUUGUGAUGGGUCUUUGUUGUUUGGCUUCAACAUCUUUGAAUGUAAAAUAUAUAACCAAUAUCAUUAAGUGCUUUCAUGUUUCUUCCCUGUCCUGCUGCUACAUUCUUUUGUUUAAUCCCUCCAUCAUUACCUUCAACUUUCUCAACUUGAGGAACAUUUGCUAUGGAACCCUUGGAUUUUGAUUGUUUGAAAAAUUUGUUAUAAGUCUUGUUGUUAGUUUAAGUCUGAUGAUUUUUCCAUAUUCAUUUCAUUGAAUUUGAUGUUUCAUGACAUUUGGGUUUUAUCAUGAAGUUUUAUGAAAGCGCAGGCCUUAAAGAGGUUCAACAAUGAAAAACAAAUGAAAAAUAUAAUGCAAAAAUGAACACAAGUGUUUAUGAGGUAUCUUGAAUACCUCCCCCUCAAAUAUAGUUUAUUAUAAUGAAUUCAACAAUUAUAAGUAUAAUAAAUCACCCUUAUCUUGAGAACAAUCUCUCAAGAUCACAAAUACUAAAGCAAAGUAAGAACACUCUCAAGUUUCUAAUAAUGCAAUAGCCCUCUCAACAAUAUGUGUGUUUGUGGUGGUUGUUACUAUGAGUGAUGAAUCCUAUUUAUAGGCAAGACAUUCAUCACUCUUAGUAUUCACUCAUAAAUCACCAUAAACAUACAUGUAACAACUCAAUUAACAUCUAAUUAACUAUGACAAUAAACAUUACAAUAAACAAUAGAAGUAAUUCACCACAUUAUUGCAUAGUCACUUCACAUUCUGACCAAAAACAGAAUCCAAAGUAGUUUACUGAACUUCCGCUCGACCCGAGCCACUACCUCGCUCGGUCGAGCGAGCUUCCAGAGAAGCUACUGACUUGUUCUGCACACCUUGCUCAACCGAGCCAACACCGCUCCACCGGUUGAGCAAUACUUCACUCGAUCGAGCGGUUGGUCGAGCCACUCACUGUUCUGCUUUUUUAAUUGUUGCUUUGAUCAAGCAACUCUCAUUAACCGUUCCAAACCUUAAACCACCCAUAUUCGACACAUCUUUGUCGACCCUCUCUAAAGUACAAGACAAAGCAUGUUCGAUUAUAUGUUUAAAGUUAACGUCAUCAUUAAGAUUAUUGGUACUUGCUUUAACAUUUUAUUUAGUAAUGGAUUUCAUUGUUUCAUUGGCUUCUCGUAGAUUAAAUUCCAAUGAAUUUAAUUAUGCUUGCUUUGA
Amaranthus tricolor (Joseph's coat) is the source of this 1946-nucleotide long non-coding RNA. RefSeq lists it as uncharacterized. The transcript has 3 exons. The record is from RefSeq and is a predicted model, not a curated record. NCBI's taxonomy places the organism in Eukaryota, Viridiplantae, Streptophyta, Magnoliopsida, Caryophyllales, Amaranthaceae.